RNAcentral lists this ribosomal RNA (432 nucleotides) under uncultured bacterium. RNAcentral's name for it is "partial 16S ribosomal RNA". It matches the Rfam family "Bacterial small subunit ribosomal RNA", at positions 29 to 506 of the family's 1533-position model. The record is from RNAcentral.
AACGAACGCUGGCGGCAUGCCUAACACAUGCAAGUCGAACGAGACCUUCGGGUCUAGUGGCGCACGGGUGCGUAACGCGUGGGAACCUGCCCUUAGGUUCGGAAUAACUCCCCGAAAGGGGUGCUAAUACCGGAUAAUGUCUUCGGACCAAAGAUUUAUCGCCUUUGGAUGGGCCCGCGUUGGAUUAGCUAGUUGGUAGGGUAAAAGCCUACCAAGGCGACGAUCCAUAGCUUGUCUGAGAGGAUGAUCAGCCACACUGGGACUGAGACACGGCCCAGACUCCUACGGGAGGCAGCAGUGGGGAAUAUUGGACAAUGGGCGAAAGCCUGAUCCAGCAAUGCCGCGUGAGUGAUGAAGGCCUUAGGGUUGUAAAGCUCUUUUACCCGGGAUGAUAAUGACAGUACCGGGAGAAUAAGCUCCGGCUAACUCCGU